GGCCAAUAUGAAGGAUAUAAUUCCUCAAAGUUUCUUCAUCCUAGGAGGAUCUGAGUCCAUCAUGGCUGGGAAGAGUUGUGACUCUAAGAGCUGGAACCUAAAACCCACACCUUCAAAUGAAAAUCCUGCUCAUGUUAAUGUGGAUGACAGGUGGAACAAAGUCAGACAUCAC
Mastomys coucha (southern multimammate mouse) is the source of this 172-nucleotide long non-coding RNA. RefSeq lists it as uncharacterized. The transcript has 3 exons. The record is from RefSeq and is a predicted model, not a curated record. NCBI's taxonomy places the organism in Eukaryota, Metazoa, Chordata, Mammalia, Rodentia, Muridae.